GCCUUCAUGGUGUAGUGGUCAGCACACUCGGCUCGUAUUUGAGAGGUCCAUGGUUCGAGUCCUGGCGAGGGCA
Molecule: transfer RNA, 73 nt
Filed under: Stegodyphus mimosarum
Lineage: Eukaryota; Metazoa; Arthropoda; Arachnida; Araneae; Eresidae
Rfam family: tRNA
About the family: Transfer RNA (tRNA) molecules are approximately 80 nucleotides in length. Their secondary structure includes four short double-helical elements and three loops (D, anti-codon, and T loops).
Source: Rfam by way of RNAcentral